Arachis ipaensis is the source of this 3250-nucleotide non-coding RNA. The record is from RefSeq and is a predicted model, not a curated record. Lineage: Eukaryota; Viridiplantae; Streptophyta; Magnoliopsida; Fabales; Fabaceae.
CACAAUUGUUGCUAAUUUCGGUGGUUUUAUCGUCUGCCAGAAUGAUCAUGUUCUUAGUGGCGAUUUUCACUAAUUGUGGCAGGUUAAAACGCCAUUAUCAUUAAAAAAAAAGAAAACACAUUUAAAGCUGAGGUGGUGUAUUGCAUAUGAGAAUAAUCACUAUUCAAUAUUGUUGAAUGUGAGAGAGUGAGCGAGAGGGAUCUGAAUGUGACGAACCCUAAUUUUUUGAUCUCCCUCGUUGCCGGCAUUCAUCUCUUGCCGCCGUAUACAAUGCGGUUAUUGCUGCCUUCGAAGGAGCGCUCUUCUUUGAUUAGGUUUUCUAGCUUCAAUUUGAGGGUUCGUUGCGCCGCCCUCAUCUCCUCGUCACCACAAGCAACGCCAUCAUUGCUGUCUUCGAUGGAGCUUUUGCUAUCUGGUAUAAUCUGAGAUCGCACAUCGCAGGAAGAGGGAAAGGGGAAUGAGAGUGAGUUGAUCUGAAACCCUAAAGCUUGUCGCCGCCAUGGUCACACCAUUCAUCUCAUUUCUCCCGCUUCCAUCAACCUUCUGCGCUCGAGUGAAGGCGCCUCCUCUAUCGAUGCGUUUCCAAAUCUAGUCACUACGCCAUAGCUUAUGAGAUUGAGCGAAGCACCUCUUCCAUUAAUGUAUCUCCUCCGCCAGCAGUGCCGGGUUCUUCCUUAUAGAAAUCUCCAAUCUAUAGCAUAUAGGCUAUACUUGAAACUCCUCAAAUGACAUGCUUUUGAACUUAAAUCUCAGAUAAAAAGGUCUCAUUAUCAAAAGUACAUGCUCUUCUAUCUGAUAAAGAAGAAUUGGAGAAAGACUUGAAAAGAUUAAAUGAUAAGCUUACUUCAGCACUCUCUGACUGUAAUGCUAAAGGUGAGCUGUUGAAAAAGCAAACAAAAAUCGCUCAGGAAGCAACAGCAGGUUAAAGGUCAUUUUCCUUUCUUUGACAUGGCGUAAACAGUUUAUAAUGCGUGCUUUGUGAAGAUGAGAAACAAGCUGUGGCAGUAAAAAGUCAAUUGCAGCUACUUGCUAGACCAAUGUACAGUAAUCCACCUGUUCUUGGAGCACUUAUAGUUUCAACUAUUAUUGAUGACCCAGAAUUGAAAAAUUUAUGGCUUAAAGAAGUUAAGGGAUUUGUCAAAUAACAACUUGAGUGGUCAACUACCUUCCUCAACAGGGACUUUGUCAUUCCUUACUACAUUGUGAGUAAAUUUUAUUGCGUAUAGUUUAAUUUCUAUUGGAGCAAGAAACAAAGAUGUUGGAGCAAGUCCCGGGAUGGAACUCACACAAGAGACCAAGAAACUAAGGCGGGUGUAAAAUCCCUAUAAUACCCUUACUCAUCUUUCUCCUAACCAAAUUUUAACCCUAACUUCCUAAAUUACCAACACACACCCCCCAAAUCAUAGAAGAGAAGCAGAGAGAGUGAGGAUCGGAAAGAAGAAGAGAGGGGAGGAAGGGACGGCGCCGGCAGGGCUGGGAGUCGCCGUCGCUAUCGUUGUCUUGGAUCAAGAAGAGAGAAGAGGAAGAAGUGCAAGAGAGGAAAUGCUGUCCCGCCGUCCUUGCCAUCACCCUUGGAGACCGUCCCUGCCGCAGCCGGAGCUUCCAUUGCCGUCGUCAAGGACUCCAUCGCUGCCACGAGAAGCCACCGCAUGUGGAAGAGAAAGACGUGACGCACAGAAUAGAGGAAGGGGACGACAUCUUGUCGUCACUGCGCCUUGUCGCCGUCGCUGAAAGGGGAGCUCCGUCGUCGCCGUCGAGGCUACGGGUAUGGGGCUUCGAAGAGAGAGAGAAGCUCGCAGAGGAGAGAGAAACGUAACGACCAGAGAGAGGAAAGUCUCGCGAGGAGGCGGGAGCUGGUACACCUUCGCUGUUGUUGCAGGCUGCGCCACCGCGCCUCUGGUUGCCGGGAGCCACGCUGACGUCACCGGAAGCCACCGCCGAAAACUCUGCAAGUUUGCCCUAGCUCCGCUUUACUUCAGCCGGUGAGGAUCACCGGAGCUACUGAUGGUCCAUCCUCUUGUUUCUUUUGGCUGGAUUCGCUGUUGCCCCUUGCUACUAGGGCUGUUGUUGAUGUUAUUGCAGUGAGAGUUGAAGUUAUUGCUAUAACCCCAGUCCAAAUUCUGCGCAGUUUCGUACUCUUAAAUUCAACAUUUCGGGUUUGGUCUCUUCGGUCCCUUAGGACCAUGUUGUGAGUAGGCUUUACAUUUAUAACCGUUAAUUUUUUUUUGUUCAUGCUAUUCUGAGUUUCUAUUUAUAUUUAUAAAACUAUUGUUGAAGAACUUUGAUUUGAUUAGAAUAAUUGAUUUAUUAUAGUUGGAAAAAAAAUAUUUUUAUGAAGCUUAUAUCUUAGAAAUUUUACAUGAGACUAUAUAUAUGUUUGAUGAAGUUUUAUAUUAUUUUAGAACAUUUGAUUUUACUCGAAUAUAUACUUUUGAAGCAUUGAAGUAUUUAUUAGUACUUACUGACUUUGAAAUUGUAAAAUGUGUUUGAAAUUACUUAUGAUCGAAGAAGCUAUGAUUAGAAAAUAUUUCUUACGAGAAAGUAUUAUUUGAUUUGAUUCAAUACCGUAUAUAUUUGAAAGAUCGAAGAUUUAUUAUAGUUGAAUUUAUAUGUUUUGAAUUGGUUUGGGAGGCUCGUAUUAGAAAACCGUAGUUAACGGCGGUUAUGAAAUUAACUUAGAUGCAUCUAACUCAGACUCCAGCUAGCAGGGGUGUUGCUAGUCUAACGUGUAGGCCACACGUUAGAUCUGUUAUUCUGUUAGGACACACGAGAGGAAAGGGUUACCCAUUGAGGUGGAGCUGCCCAAGUGUGGACGUUUGAUUUGAUUUCUGAACAAAUAUUUGACUAUGUGGGACUUUCUAUUCAAGAAUAACGGUCUGCAAUGAGUACCUAUCUUUGUCGAAUUCCUAGAAGUAUAUGCUCCAUAUGUCACAGGCAGGAUCCAACCAUUCUUAGUUAUUUUAAUUUUUUUGUUAAAAAUAUAUAACUAUUUAUUUUAGAACUUGUAAAAUAUUUGUAACUUGCUUAUUCAACUUAUAUCUGAGUAUGUUAGGCUUGCUAUAGGAUUAUUUUCCUGAGCGCCGGUCAUGACUCAUUUUGGGUUUUGACAGCAGGCUUGUUUUAAAGCUAAUUACAAAAGGAGGAAACUUUUGGCCUUCAAAUCUUAUUCAUCAUCACUUAGCUAAGCUACUUGUCUUGUAUAUUCAUAGUUUAGGGAACUAGAUGGUAGAUUUGACUAAUUAGUGCUUAU